Molecule: ribosomal RNA, 1413 nt
Filed under: Streptococcus thermophilus
Lineage: Bacteria; Bacillati; Bacillota; Bacilli; Lactobacillales; Streptococcaceae
Description: bacterial SSU rRNA
Rfam family: Bacterial small subunit ribosomal RNA
Source: RNAcentral
CAUGCAAGUAGAACGCUGAAGAGAGGAGCUUGCUCUUCUUGGAUGAGUUGCGAACGGGUGAGUAACGCGUAGGUAACCUGCCUUGUAGCGGGGGAUAACUAUUGGAAACGAUAGCUAAUACCGCAUAACAAUGGAUGACACAUGUCAUUUAUUUGAAAGGGGCAAUUGCUCCACUACAAGAUGGACCUGCGUUGUAUUAGCUAGUAGGUGAGGUAAUGGCUCACCUAGGCGACGAUACAUAGCCGACCUGAGAGGGUGAUCGGCCACACUGGGACUGAGACACGGCCCAGACUCCUACGGGAGGCAGCAGUAGGGAAUCUUCGGCAAUGGGGGCAACCCUGACCGAGCAACGCCGCGUGAGUGAAGAAGGUUUUCGGAUCGUAAAGCUCUGUUGUAAGUCAAGAACGGGUGUGAGAGUGGAAAGUUCACACUGUGACGGUAGCUUACCAGAAAGGGACGGCUAACUACGUGCCAGCAGCCGCGGUAAUACGUAGGUCCCGAGCGUUGUCCGGAUUUAUUGGGCGUAAAGCGAGCGCAGGCGGUUUGAUAAGUCUGAAGUUAAAGGCUGUGGCUCAACCAUAGUUCGCUUUGGAAACUGUCAAACUUGAGUGCAGAAGGGGAGAGUGGAAUUCCAUGUGUAGCGGUGAAAUGCGUAGAUAUAUGGAGGAACACCGGUGGCGAAAGCGGCUCUCUGGUCUGUAACUGACGCUGAGGCUCGAAAGCGUGGGGAGCGAACAGGAUUAGAUACCCUGGUAGUCCACGCCGUAAACGAUGAGUGCUAGGUGUUGGAUCCUUUCCGGGAUUCAGUGCCGCAGCUAACGCAUUAAGCACUCCGCCUGGGGAGUACGACCGCAAGGUUGAAACUCAAAGGAAUUGACGGGGGCCCGCACAAGCGGUGGAGCAUGUGGUUUAAUUCGAAGCAACGCGAAGAACCUUACCAGGUCUUGACAUCCCGAUGCUAUUUCUAGAGAUAGAAAGUUACUUCGGUACAUCGGUGACAGGUGGUGCAUGGUUGUCGUCAGCUCGUGUCGUGAGAUGUUGGGUUAAGUCCCGCAACGAGCGCAACCCCUAUUGUUAGUUGCCAUCAUUCAGUUGGGCACUCUAGCGAGACUGCCGGUAAUAAACCGGAGGAAGGUGGGGAUGACGUCAAAUCAUCAUGCCCCUUAUGACCUGGGCUACACACGUGCUACAAUGGUUGGUACAACGAGUUGCGAGUCGGUGACGGCGAGCUAAUCUCUUAAAGCCAAUCUCAGUUCGGAUUGUAGGCUGCAACUCGCCUACAUGAAGUCGGAAUCGCUAGUAAUCGCGGAUCAGCACGCCGCGGUGAAUACGUUCCCGGGCCUUGUACACACCGCCCGUCACACCACGAGAGUUUGUAACACCCGAAGUCGGUGAGGUAACCUUUUGGAGCCA